This 314-nucleotide ribosomal RNA is filed under the name Bryoria capillaris. RNAcentral's name for it is "eukaryotic LSU rRNA". The stretch from base 1 to 123 matches the Rfam family "5.8S ribosomal RNA", at positions 32 to 154 of the family's 154-position model. The record is from RNAcentral. Lineage: Eukaryota; Fungi; Ascomycota; Lecanoromycetes; Lecanorales; Parmeliaceae.
AUCGAUGAAGAACGCAGCGAAAUGCGAUAAAUAAUGUGAAUUGCAGAAUUCAGUGAAUCAUCGAGUCUUUGAACGCACAUUGCGCCCCUCGGUAUUCCGGGGGGCAUGCCUGUUCGAGCGUCAUUACACCCCUCAAGCGUAGCUUGGUAUUGGGCUUCGCCCCCGCGGCGUGCCCGAAAAACAGUGGCGGUCCGGCGUGACUUUAAGCGUAGUAAAUUUUCAUCCCGCUUUGAAAGCUCAAUCCGUGGCCUGCCAGACAACCCAAAAUUUCAAUCAUUGACCUCGGAUCAGGUAGGGAUACCCGCUGAACUUAA